RNAcentral lists this long non-coding RNA (2438 nucleotides) under Homo sapiens (human). RNAcentral describes it as "HSALNT0326275". The record is from RNAcentral. Lineage: Eukaryota; Metazoa; Chordata; Mammalia; Primates; Hominidae.
GCCAAGAUCGCACCAAACCACUCCAGGCUGGGCAACAGAGCAAGACUCCAUCUCAAACAAAACAAAACGAGAUGAGAGAAAAACCUCAACCUGUACACCUCUUUAUGACAGAACAACACAGAAAGAGAAAGACAAAGAAAAGACUACUCUAGGAGGAAAUGGAUGAAACAAUAUGAUUCUUACCACAAAGUACCAGAAAGUACACCAUAGUCAAUACACCAGCACUGGUCACACAAAUCCUUUUCUCCCAUCAGUCAAAAUUUUGGACAGGAAAAAUGAACAGAGUGAUAUUUACUGUCUACUUGACCAAAUUCCACAGAGAGGGGCCUGGAAUCUGACUGGUAAGAAAUUCUUAUCCUUAGGCUGGCUGAUUAGCUCCUGGUUUUCCUUAACUGUGGGCUUCCAAAAGAGCCAACCUUUGGGUUCCUGCUUACAACACCAAAUUUCUAGGGGCCAAGGGAAAUCUUUCUCUUAGCACUCUGAAAGUUUGUUGUAAAAUCGACUUGCAAAAACAGAAGAUUAACAGGAGAAAACACAUACAAAAUGUAUAAUUGCCCAAACCCCCAGUGAGGUGCAGGAGCUUAUAUAUCAUCUUGAGAUUACAGAAAGAAGUGGAUCAUGGCAGAACUGGUUAUAGGAGGGAGAGAAGAUGAGGUCUGCUAGCAAUGGUAGUCUUGUUAUGUACAUGAAACCUCACAGAUAGCAUCCCUCAGAGAACUGUUUCCUUAAGACCUUUAAAGGUGUCAGACUCUCAUUAAUCCUUCCUACAUCUGGAAAAGAGAAGGCCUGUAUAUAUCAAUGCACGAUGGCAUUGCAGGGCUACUUCUUUUGCUGCCUCUGACAGCCAUCUCAAAAUAUGUCAAAGAAAUAUAUUUUGGGGUAAAACAUUUUUCUUUCUUUCAAAGUGGAAUAUUAAGCGUACGUCUCUUAUAGAUACACUUUUAAAUAAAUAAGGGAAUCCACUUUUUCUAAUUUGUUAAGAUAUUUUUUGUUUUAAUAAUGAAGAGAGGUUAACUUUUAAAAAGGUUUUCUACAUCUACUGAUAUUAUCAUGUGGUUUUAUUUCUUUUUACUGUUAAUGCGGUGAAUAAUAUUGAUUGAUUUUCAAAUGCGAGUUCCUGGAGUAAAUCCCACUAGGUCAUGAUGUAUUUUUAAAAUAUAUAUAUUGCUGGAUUCAGUAUGCUAAUGCAUUAUUCAUAAUUUUUAACAUCUGUGAUCAUGAGAGACAUUGGCUGACCAAAAAUGGGAAAUUGACAAGAGUAAUAAACAAAAUGGGCUUACAAAUAUUCAUACUUGCUUGAUACUUAAAAAGGCCUUUUAAUGUAUUUUUCUGCCCCACUCAAGCAGACUUUUUAAUUUCUGGCAAGAGGUCUCAUUCAGGCUGUUCAAAGGUCAAUAUUAAUCUGAAUCAUUCCACAUUUGUAGGCAUCCUCAUUAUCUUUUCAAUACAGAUUGAAUUAUUGGGGAUUCAGACAGCAGAGGAAAAAAGUCAAAGCAUAUAAGGUGAGUAAGAAUUGUCACUUCCUGACAGGACCAGGAACAUCAGGAUAUUUGGAGAAUCUUAACAAAAGGAGAAUUCAUCCAAAUCUCUAGGUAUUGCAGGCAAAGUAUGAUAGCAAGAUCCUGGUUUGGUUUCCUAGCAUCUGGACGCUUUUAAAAGUCUAAUUUGAGAUUCCUUAUGAAAAUGUCCAGGAUUAAUGUCACCAGCCAGGUUCCUAACCUAUGUGGAACACCCAGGGCCAGAAGAGUCUAAAAUUGCAAAAGCUCGUGGCUCCUGAGUCCAAGAGUUCCUGGUUUUCCUGGACACAAGCGAUAGCGCAGCACUUUCUUCCCCAUGUGCCAGAGGCCUAGGGUUCUGCAGAAGAGGCCCCAAGGCCCCAGACGCUGCAAGCCCUAAGCUCAGUAUAUUCUAGGCCCUGUCCUCUCACUUUCUAUUUCUUGUGUGGCCCCCAAACUUGUGCCAGCUAUCCUGGAACAGCCAAGAAUUCAACUGUGACCUGCUUCCUCCCUCAACCUCUUCUCCCCAACCUCCCCACCACACUUCUUCUUUGGGAAGAUUUGUAAAAAUUAAGGUUAUUAUAUCCAUGUAACUUUCUGUAUUUCUUUUAAACUCCUUGUGCUACUAAGUCACACAGGUUUGACUCCUGGAUCUAAAAAAGUCACCAACUCUGGCUAAAUCUUAAACAUUGACAGCAAUUGAAGCCUCAUCUUCAGACCUAGGAGAAGAUGAAAAUCAGAAUAAGCUGCAGUCAUAAGACAUGGGUCCAGAAAUUAAAACUAUUCAACCCCUCUAGUCCCAGGGACUAUUGCAGAAGAAGUGGGUGUGUGAGCUUGUAAGGAUCCAUUUUAAGAGAUAAAAUUAAUUCAGAGUUUCUCUAUAAAUUAAACAGUUGCAUUUGUUGUUGUUUUGAGACAGUCCAGCUAUGUCAUCUGGGCUGG